This 226-nucleotide unclassified non-coding RNA is filed under the name uncultured fungus. RNAcentral's name for it is "sequence contains ITS1, 5.8S rRNA gene". Lineage: Eukaryota; Fungi. The record is from RNAcentral.
ACGAAACUCGGGCGCGGCCUCGCGGGGAGGGAGCGGCUGUGCUGGCGGGGCGACCCGCACGUGCACGCCUCUUUCCGACCCCGGCCCGCUCAUCCACACACCGACACCUGUGAACACCGAUCUUCGUCGGGCGGGGCCCCCCCGGGCCUCCCCGGCGUCGACCUUCUCUCACAUCAUCCUUUGCAUGUCUUGUCGAAUGUACACUUGCGUAACCGCAACCGAAAUA